Xiphias gladius (swordfish) is the source of this 848-nucleotide long non-coding RNA. RefSeq lists it as uncharacterized. The record is from RefSeq and is a predicted model, not a curated record. The transcript is spliced from 4 exons. NCBI's taxonomy places the organism in Eukaryota, Metazoa, Chordata, Actinopteri, Istiophoriformes, Xiphiidae.
CCCGCACGGCGGUCCACGCGGCCCCUCGCUCUCUCACUCGUGUGUUUUUCCCUUUUUUGUUUUUGUGUUUUCGUCCGCAGGGCGAGUGCCGCGACGGCCCCGCUGGGAUUUAGGGGCAGCCCUUGUCUACCUGCCCGCGGCGAGUGUCCUUCGGUGAGGAAUCGGCUGCUUCGUUCACACCACGGCGGCUUUAACCGGCCCCGAUGGUUUAAACCACGGACCAAACCACCAAGAGCCCGGACCUCCAGUCCCCUCGCUUUCUCUCCUGCAGUCUGGUUUGAUUUGGAGAAAUGUGAAACACCAUGAAAUAUGAGAGCGAGCGGCCGUAAAUUGGAAGCGGCCUCGCGCACAAAGAGGAGAAAUCUUUUCUGUGUUUGCAGGGACACAUUCACGUCUUUCUUCCCUUUCAAAGGCUCCAUCUCCAGAUUUACAUCCAUCUGAAGCUGCUUCACUCGGCUCUGUAAAGAUGAAUGUCGCCAGGCUCUGAAGGUUCUCGCAUGGUGACAGUGGUGCUCUGAGCCAAACCAAGUGUGGCGUUGACUCAUGUCUCUGACCGAAGCUGAAGGUGGGGUAGGAGACUCUGGUCCUCCGCACGUCUCUGUGUCCGUCUCCCCUCAGUUUAAUCCUUGGCUCUCUGGAGGAGCAUUAGGCCAAGCAGCUGGGGCCCCUGAACGCCUCUUGAAAAAGCCAGUCCUCUCCAACCGGGAGGGGGGAGGAGGAGACGCCCAGACCACCUGGCUCCUGAAACGUAGAACAAUCCACCAACCUACAAGUCCACACUGAGGGGAGGGGGGGACUGAUGUGACGCACCCUCUGGUGGCCACAACUCCUGGGAACUAAAACAAGCG